AGUAAACACAGAACACAUCCUCUCCAUCUCCAGGGCCCUUUUCCUCUCGCUCUGAAUGCUCAGGCUGUCCCUUCUCGCCAGGUUGCCCAACAUGAAGUCAGAAGCCUUGGACUGGGAAUUCCACGUUGGCGGAUUUUGAAAAGCCGGCCCCAAACGCAAAGGCAGAUGUCACUCAUGAACUCCAAGAACGCUGUCUUCCUCUGCAGACCCAUGGAAUAGCUAGCUGGGACUGAGCUCUCCAGGUCUGAUUCGGAGGUGAAGCUGUUGGCCAGUCAUGGAGACUGUCUCCUCACAAAUCAUCUGGGAGGUGCAGGCGGGAGAAGCAAGGCCCAGGGAAGCUGACUCAUCCAAGACUUGGGAGAUGGAGAUGCUGCAGGGGAUGGUGAGGACUGAGCCAACUGUGUGCACGCCCGUGUCUUGCAGGCUACAAAGGGCUGAACAGGUGAAGGCUUUGGGUGCUGGGGUGACUGGGGCCCCUUGAGGCCAGGGAGGGUUCAGGUGAGGGCCCCCUGCCAAGCGAUGUCCCUCAGGUGUCACAUCACCUCAAGGUAAGCUGUGAGCAUCACCACAGUUAUUUGGGUUUGCCCGUAAUUACAUUCUAUAUGCACUGUCCGUGGCUGUGGACAAGUGUAUCCUACGCACUUUGGCCAAGGGCAAGUUCCCCACCAUUGGCCCACCCCCUGCCCACGG
RNAcentral lists this long non-coding RNA (690 nucleotides) under Mustela putorius furo (domestic ferret). RNAcentral describes it as "lncRNA (ENSMPUG00000024518.1)". Lineage: Eukaryota; Metazoa; Chordata; Mammalia; Carnivora; Mustelidae. The record is from RNAcentral.